CCGGGAUGGACCAGCCGCUGGUGCGCCGGUUGUACCGCCAGGUGCAGCGCCGGGUAGCUACGCUGGGACGAGAUAAGCGCUGAAAGCAUCUAAGUGCGAAACUCACCUGGAGAUGAGAUUUCCCAAUAUGAAGGCCCGUCGGAGAUGACGACGUGGAUAGGCGGCAGGUGAACAACUGGAAACAGAAUAGCUGAGCCGUACUAAG
Molecule: ribosomal RNA, 205 nt
Filed under: uncultured eukaryote
Lineage: Eukaryota
Description: partial Bacterial large subunit ribosomal RNA
Rfam family: Bacterial large subunit ribosomal RNA
Source: RNAcentral